This 305-nucleotide ribosomal RNA is filed under the name uncultured bacterium. RNAcentral's name for it is "bacterial SSU rRNA". It matches the Rfam family "Bacterial small subunit ribosomal RNA", at positions 333 to 636 of the family's 1533-position model. The record is from RNAcentral.
GAGUUCCUACGGGAGGCAGCAGUGAGGAAUAUUGGUCAAUGGGCGGGAGCCUGAACCAGCCACGCCGCGUGAAGGAAGAAGGCGCCAAGCGUCGUAAACUUCUUUUUUCGGGGAACAAAGGGCGCCACGUGUGGCGUUGUGAGUGUACCCGAAGAAACCGCAUCGGCUAACUCCGUGCCAGCCGCCGCGGUCCUACGGAGGCUGCGAGCGUUAUCCGGAUUUAUUGGGUUUAAAGGGUGCGUAUGCGGUCCGGAAAGUCAGCGGGAAAAGCCCGGGGCUCAACCCCGGCGAGCCGUUGAAACUGC